RNAcentral lists this ribosomal RNA (424 nucleotides) under uncultured prokaryote. RNAcentral's name for it is "bacterial SSU rRNA". It matches the Rfam family "Bacterial small subunit ribosomal RNA", at positions 355 to 796 of the family's 1533-position model. The record is from RNAcentral.
UGGGGAAUCUUGGACAAUGGGGGCAACCCUGAUCCAGCCAUGCCGCGUGAGUGAUGAAGGCCCUAGGGUCGUAAAGCUCUUUCGCCUGUGAAGAUAAUGACGGUAGCAGGUAAAGAAACCCCGGCUAACUCCGUGCCAGCAGCCGCGGUAAUACGGAGGGGGUUAGCGUUGUUCGGAAUUACUGGGCGUAAAGCGCACGUAGGCGGAUCUUUAAGUCGGGGGUGAAAUCCCGGGGCUCAACCCCGGAACUGCCUUCGAUACUGGGGAUCUUGAGGUCGAGAGAGGUGAGUGGAAUUCCGAGUGUAGAGGUGAAAUUCGUAGAUAUUCGGAGGAACACCAGUGGCGAAGGCGGCUCACUGGCUCGAUACUGACGCUGAGGUGCGAAAGUGUGGGGAGCAAACAGGAUUAGAUACCCCCGUAGUCC